This 1401-nucleotide ribosomal RNA is filed under the name Triticum aestivum (bread wheat). RNAcentral describes it as "partial small subunit ribosomal RNA". Lineage: Eukaryota; Viridiplantae; Streptophyta; Magnoliopsida; Poales; Poaceae. The record is from RNAcentral.
AUGGCACGCUGCAUGCUCAAGGCAAAGCAGGUGCCGAGCACGUAUUGGGGGGAGGCCGUGCUCACGGCUGUCUUCAUCCUCAACCACUCCUUCACAAGGAGCAUCGAUGGCAAGACGCCUUAUGAGGCGUGGUAUGGGAGGAAGCCUGAUGUACGCUUCCUCCGCACCUUUGGCUACAUCGGGCAUGUCAAGACGGCGCGCCCACAGCUGAAGAAGCUCGACGACAGGAGCACCCCGAUGGUGUUCAUGGGCUACGAGACGGGCUCUAAGGCGUACAAGAUGUACGACCCCAUCUCAAAGUGUGUGCAUGUCUCGCGCGACUUCAUCUUCGACGAAGAUGCGCGAUGGACUUGGGAGACGUCGGGGGAGUCCCCGGCAGGCAGCUCCUUCACCGUAGAGUACCCGAUGUACUCUACAACCUCGGGAAGCAAGACCUCAGGAAUUGCCACGCCAGGAAGCCCGGGAGGUGUGGAUCUGGGAACCGCAACCCCGAGAACACCGUCCCCGGGUACGGUGUCCCCGGACACCCCGAUGUCAAGCAAGGUGGGUCCCAGGAGGCAGUUCGCGACCCCGCCAACGGCGAGGUCGGAGCUGUUCGACGCUGACGACAGCGUUGGCGCCCCCCACAGGUUUCGGCGCAUGGGGGAUCUCCUCGGCAAGGAUGCGGUAACACCGCAACAGCCCGAGGAAGAGGACAUUGAUGACGACGACGUCUUGCAUCUGAUGGCCGGCGAGGAGCCAACCACAUUCGCGGAGGCCGAGCAAGAGGAUUGCUGGCGCCAUGCGAUGCUGGACGAGCUGGCGUCGAUCAACAACAACGCCACUUGGACACUCACCACACUGCCUGCUGGGCACCGAGCCAUCGGGCUCAAGUGGGUGUUCAAAGUCAAGAAGGACGAGCACGGCGCCAUUGUCAAGCACAAGGCGCGCCUCGUCGCAAAGGGCUACGUGCAGCGUGAGGGAGUGGACUUCGAGGAAGUCUUCGCUCCGGUGGCAAGGCUGGAGUCCGUGCGGCUCAUCCUUGCGGUGGCUGCUCACCGCGGGUGGGAGGUACACCACAUGGACGUCAAGUCGGCAUUUCUCAAUGGCGACCUUAAUGAGGAGGUGUACGUCUCCCAACCACCCGGAUUCGUUGCCAAAGGCCACGAGCAGGGAGUGUAUCGACUACACAAGGCCCUGUACGGUCUCCGGCAAGCCCCAAGGGCAUGGAACGCCAAGCUCGAUGCAAGCCUCGCAUCUCUUGGGUUCUCACGCAGCGCUUCUGAGCACGGCGUGUACUCGCAUGGCACCGCGAACAUGCUGCUCAUCGUCGGCAUCUACGUCGAUGACCUGGUCAUCGCCGGAGCAGAGCCCGAGAGGUUCAAUGCUUCAAGGGAGAGAUGCAUCGUCUCUUCAGCAUGA